Molecule: transfer RNA, 74 nt
Filed under: Candidatus Aenigmatarchaeota archaeon
Lineage: Archaea; Nanobdellati; Candidatus Aenigmatarchaeota
Description: tRNA-Ile
Rfam family: tRNA
About the family: Transfer RNA (tRNA) molecules are approximately 80 nucleotides in length. Their secondary structure includes four short double-helical elements and three loops (D, anti-codon, and T loops).
Source: RNAcentral
GGGCCUGUAGCUUAGCCUGGUGGAGCAUCCGCCUUAUAAGCGGAGGGUCGAGAGUUCAAAUCUCUCCAGGCCCA